AUAAAAUAGCAGCUAUUCAUAAAGAAAGAAAAUAGAGAAUUGAUAUUCUCAGAUUAUAAAAUAGUAGCAACUCAUAAAGGAGGAAAAAGGAAAAUGAUAUUCUCAAGUUGCAAAAUGAUGACUUUGUCAGCCUUCUAAACUUGUUUCCCUCUUUCUCUUCAAAUGUCUUGGUGCCACUUUUGAUGGAUCACCCUUAACAAAAAGUAUGUCCUUGUUUGUGACAUUAUCAUUGCGGAUUAGAGGCCCUUACUGCAACUUUAUCUUGCCACUCUCAAUAAGGCUUUGAAUCUUGAAUCUUAAUGCUGGAUAAUCUUCAAUGUCAUGUCCUUAAAUAUUUGAAUGAUAGGCACAAAUUUUGGAUAAAUCAAAGUUUGGAGAUGGAUACUUAGGUUUGAAUCCCUUUUUGGGUUGCAAAAGUCCCUUAGUUCUCAACCUCUCAAAUAUAUAGGCUAAUGGCUCAUUCAAAGGAGUGAACAAAAAACAUUUCAUUUUCUUCUGUGGCCGCAAGGUAGAUUGUGCUUAAAUAAAUUGUUGCUGGGAGCUAUUUUAGAAAUUUUGCUGACAAAGAGUCUGGAGGUGCACAUUAUGGAGGUCAGAAGAAGCAUGAGAUUGUGAAAAUUGGUGAAUUUGAAGGCAUUGUGGUUGAUGCAAAAAAACUGUGUUGUUUACAUUUUAUGAAUUUCUCGAUGUCUUUGAUUGGACAAAUCGUGUUGCUUCUACAAAUUUUCUUUCUUGAAUGCCAUUUUCUACCUCUUUUCCAAUUUGAAACGAAUCAAAAAAGUUGUGUGCACAAGUUCCAAUCAACUUAUCAUAAAAUAGGCCUUCUUGAAUUUGAAUGAAAGAUGAGAUCAAUUCAUCCUUAGGAAGUGGAGAAUGUAUUUUUCAAGCUUCUAAUCUCCAUCACAUGGCAUAUUCUUGAAAGGAUUCAUGUGACAACUUCUUUACUUUGAGCAAAUAGGUCAUGUGUAGAUCGCCUCCAAUGUUAAACUCGUAUUUGCUUACAAAGUCACGAGCCAUAUCUUCCCAUGUGUGCCAUUUGCUAAAUUCUUUCUUGGUAUACCAAUUUAGCACUAAUCCUGAUAAACUUUGAAUAAAUAUACUUAUUCG
This 1107-nucleotide long non-coding RNA is filed under the name Capsicum annuum. Its description in RNAcentral is "long non-coding RNA (CANN_LNC011416)". Lineage: Eukaryota; Viridiplantae; Streptophyta; Magnoliopsida; Solanales; Solanaceae. The record is from RNAcentral.